Molecule: long non-coding RNA, 523 nt
Organism: Mastomys coucha (southern multimammate mouse)
Lineage: Eukaryota; Metazoa; Chordata; Mammalia; Rodentia; Muridae
Exons: 3
Source: RefSeq, a predicted model, not a curated record
ACCAACCAGCCAAGGGCUUCUUGGUUUUAUCCCUUCUUCAGCAUACUUGAUUUUUGUUUUGUUCUACUGUUCCAGGGAUUGGAGUUUUGAGUAUCUCACACGAAUUGCAGAAAUGUUGCAGAGUUACUUGGAAGUGGAGCCACAAUGCAACUUCAGAAGUUCUGUUUAGUUGCAGGAUUGAUAUAAGGUAUAUCUGGUACAGAGGUUCAAAGAAAAUAUCAUAGUGAACAAUUAUGCAGAUAUCAAUUAAAAAGUAAAUAUAUUCCCAAUGACACACCUUGAGGAAUGAGCUUGCAUCCUGGUUCUAGCAAGAUAAAUGGAAGCAUUUGCAACAGGACUUCUAGAAGGAUUUCUGCCCUGCUCCCUUUUGGACUCUUGAAUCUCAUGCUGAAAGAAGGAAAAGCCUGAAGCCUGCUGCAAACUAGAAGAAAAACUUGUCUCCUGGAAAGAUAGAUAUUUCACACAGUAACUAUGAAAGACAGUAACGUUAGCAUGUAACAAAUAAAACUCACAAUGAUAUAAA